This 214-nucleotide long non-coding RNA is filed under the name Lathyrus oleraceus (garden pea). RNAcentral's name for it is "Pisum sativum (pea) long non-coding RNA (PSAT_LNC027914)". Lineage: Eukaryota; Viridiplantae; Streptophyta; Magnoliopsida; Fabales; Fabaceae. The record is from RNAcentral.
AACAAAAAAAAACAAAGGUCUCCCUCCCCCAGACUUAAAACAAGCAUUGUCCUCAAUGAAAGGACAUAAUUAUUAAAGUAAAGAGAAGGAAAGGACAACUCCCUGAUCAAGUUGCAGUGUAGUUAGGCGCUUCCAAAGAAAGCUCCUCUAUACCGACAUCUUCAGGCACCGAACCUCCAUAGAAUAACUUCAGACGCUGCCCGUUAACCUUAAA